GCCGGGGUGGCGCAGUAGGUAGCGCGCUCGGCUGUUAACCGAGCGGUCGGAGGUUCGAGUCCUCCCCCCGGCG
RNAcentral lists this transfer RNA (73 nucleotides) under candidate division MSBL1 archaeon SCGC-AAA259O05. Its description in RNAcentral is "tRNA-Asn". It matches the Rfam family "tRNA". From Rfam's summary of the family: Transfer RNA (tRNA) molecules are approximately 80 nucleotides in length. Lineage: Archaea; Methanobacteriati; Methanobacteriota. RNAcentral also lists the same sequence under 3 other names. The record is from RNAcentral.